AUGAAUUUGAAGAUAUCUCUUCCUCCGAACCUCACAUCGUCAACCUAUUAUCUCCGAUACAGUCCCCUUCGCUCUUCAUCUCUCAGUUCCGAAAUCCAUCACCAUCACACACUCCCUUCAGUUCUUAACUUCACGACGACCAUUUGCAGCUCAACCCAGCCCCAUACUCCUCCGUCUGGUCACUGUCAACACAUCUUCAUCAUCGAACAAUCCGCUGCUCCAUCUGAAUCCUUCCAAUUCACCACUGAACCCACACUCCCUCCGCAGUAUCAUCGAUUAUCUGUUCAUCACUAUUCCGAAGAUACAACAACUCUAUCCAGCCAUCAAAUUCAGUUCGGCUUCACUUUAAUUCCCCCAACAUUCAAGCAGUGGUAA
Non-coding RNA from Vicia faba (fava bean), 375 nucleotides. Lineage: Eukaryota; Viridiplantae; Streptophyta; Magnoliopsida; Fabales; Fabaceae. The record is from the annotation of a GenBank genome assembly.